GUUCCCUGUGAUGUUUCAAACCAUGCUAAUACUGAGGCUCAUCAUUGAUGAAUCUAAUUUUAAUGUUCUGAGGGAACU
Molecule: non-coding RNA, 78 nt
Organism: Thalictrum thalictroides
Lineage: Eukaryota; Viridiplantae; Streptophyta; Magnoliopsida; Ranunculales; Ranunculaceae
Source: the annotation of a GenBank genome assembly